Molecule: ribosomal RNA, 467 nt
Filed under: uncultured bacterium
Lineage: Bacteria
Description: partial 16S ribosomal RNA
Rfam family: Bacterial small subunit ribosomal RNA
Source: RNAcentral
GAUGAACGCUGGCGGCGCGCCUAACACAUGCAAGUCGAACGAUUAAAGCACCUUCGGGUGUGUAUAAAGUGGCGAACGGCUGAGUAACACGUGGGCAACCUGCCCCUUUCAUUGGGAUAGCCACGGGAAACCGUGGAUAAUACCGAAUACUUCGAGACUUCCGCAUGGAAGACUCGAGAAAGCUCCGGCGGAGAGGGAUGGGCCCGCGGGCUGUUAGCUUGUUGGUGGGGUAACGGCCUACCAAGGCAAUGAUGGGUAGCUGGGUUGAGAGACCGACCAGCCAGAUUGGGACUGAGACACGGCGCAGACUCCUACGGGAGGCAGCAGUGGGGAAUCUUGCACAAUGGGCGAAAGCCUGAUGCAGCGACGCCGCGUGCGGGAUGAAGGCCUUCGGGUUGUAAACCGCUUUCAGCAGGGACGAGGCGAAAGUGACGGUACCUGCAGAAGAAGCCCCGGCUAACUACGUG